GGCUCAAUGGUCUAGUGGUAUGAUUCGUGCUUCGGGGUUUUCUUGAACACCCCAACUCCUGCCAAAAACAGAAGAGUUUCAAAGAAUGUGCGAGGUCUCGGGUUCGAUCCCCGAUUGAGCCC
Cladorrhinum samala is the source of this 122-nucleotide non-coding RNA. The record is from the annotation of a GenBank genome assembly. NCBI's taxonomy places the organism in Eukaryota, Fungi, Ascomycota, Sordariomycetes, Sordariales, Podosporaceae.